This is a long non-coding RNA of Gossypium arboreum, 261 nucleotides long. RefSeq lists it as uncharacterized. The transcript has 2 exons. The record is from RefSeq and is a predicted model, not a curated record. Lineage: Eukaryota; Viridiplantae; Streptophyta; Magnoliopsida; Malvales; Malvaceae.
GAAAAGAAAAGUAAAGGACUAAAUUGUAAAGUUUAGUCACAUUUUGUAUCGAGUACUUAUCUAGUCACUCGGGGAUCGAAGGAAAUGUCGGAGGCCGAUCACACUAUCAAAGAAAUAACUCGGUAUAAUUAGACGUUUUGUUUUGUGUAUGGCAUGUAUAGAAACUUAGCCACUUUUGGUAUAAUAUGAACAAUGAAUGAUGUGUAAAUACUUGCUAGUGAUUAGCUAAUAAAAAUGGCCGAUGAUAUGCAUAUUUAUUAA